GUAACGAGGAUGAUCCUACAGACCUGUAAUGAUGUUGCGGUUAUGAUCGCAUCACUAAAGAACAUCUAAGGGACUGAGUUGAU
Molecule: small nucleolar RNA, 83 nt
Organism: Dioscorea cayenensis subsp. rotundata (Guinea yam)
Lineage: Eukaryota; Viridiplantae; Streptophyta; Magnoliopsida; Dioscoreales; Dioscoreaceae
Product: small nucleolar RNA SNORD25
Exons: 1
Source: RefSeq, a predicted model, not a curated record